This 852-nucleotide long non-coding RNA is filed under the name Pongo abelii (Sumatran orangutan). RNAcentral's name for it is "lincRNA". The record is from RNAcentral. Lineage: Eukaryota; Metazoa; Chordata; Mammalia; Primates; Hominidae.
GCCACCACGUCUGGCCUCCUGGGAUAUUUCUCAAUGAAACAUUGGAUGCCACGAUUGGUUUUGUGCCACAUGCCAAUUUCACAGAAGCCAGUCUAUGAGCCACCAGCUCUACUCAGCAAUUACAGCUUCCGGAACUUUGGCUAAAUUCUCGUAGAUGCACCACUGCUUGUGGCCUGACUCUUUGCCACCCAAGUGUGCUCAGCCUCCCCUGGGGAGUCUGCCAGGCUUGCAUGGCUCCCACUGCACUUGCUGUGCUGGGACCGAAAACAGUUUUUGUGCCCCUAGCUUAACUCCACUGGAUUCAUAGAGGCUUUGGCCUCCUCAAUGGCUGUCCUGGGACAGGGAGGCUGGUUAGCACAAUUAACACAACCUGGUCAUGCAAGGCAUUGAUGGUCCGUAACAUGAACUUUGACCAGUAGGAGACAGAGAAUGGAAAAAAGCCAGCAGAUAAAUCAUCUGGCCUUCCUCCCCUAUGACGGACUGUUCUGAGCCACUGUGUUUCACAUGUUUCACAUGUCUUCCCUGGAGAUGUCCCACAUGACUUGAGCAACCAGCUGGAGCUCUAGAGAAACUGUGGCCAUCCUGAGGAAGAAACAGGCCCAGAGAAGUUGGGUAACUCAUCAAAGGUCACAGAGCUAAGAGUGGCAGAGUCAGGCUUGGAGCCCAGGAAGUCUGGUUUCGAAUUUCAUGCUUCUAACCUGAGCACUGUACUGCUUGGUGGAGUUCUCUGCUAGUCCUACCUUUCAGGCAGAGGUGAUGCAGCGAGAAAGCUGCCACCAGAUGUAGCCCCUUGAUCUUGGACUGCCCAGCCUCUAGAACUGUGAGCCAAUUAAAUUUUUCCUUUGUAAAUUA